This 66-nucleotide transfer RNA is filed under the name Cheumatopsyche brevilineata. Its description in RNAcentral is "tRNA-Trp". The record is from RNAcentral. Lineage: Eukaryota; Metazoa; Arthropoda; Insecta; Trichoptera; Hydropsychidae.
AAGAUUUUAAGUUAAGUAAACUCUUAAUUUUCAAAAUUAAAUAUAAAGAAAUUUCUUUAAAUCUUA